This 499-nucleotide ribosomal RNA is filed under the name uncultured bacterium. RNAcentral describes it as "partial 16S ribosomal RNA". It matches the Rfam family "Bacterial small subunit ribosomal RNA", at positions 30 to 523 of the family's 1533-position model. The record is from RNAcentral.
AUUGAACGCUGGCGGCAUGCCUUACACAUGCAAGUCGAACGGUAACAGGUCUUCGGAUGCUGACGAGUGGCGAACGGGUGAGUAAUACAUCGGAACGUGCCUAGUAGUGGGGGAUAACUACUCGAAAGAGUGGCUAAUACCGCAUGAGAUCUACGGAUGAAAGCAGGGGAUCGCAAGACCUUGUGCUACUAGAGCGGCCGAUGGCAGACUUAGGUAGUUGGUGGGAUAAAAGCUUACCAAGCCGACGAUCUGUAGCUGGUCUGAGAGGACGAUCCGCCCAACUGGGACUGGGACACGGCCCAGACUCCUACGGGAGGCAGAAGUGGGGAAUUUUGGACAAUGGGCGCAAGCCUGAUCCAGCAAUGCCGCGUGCAGGAUGAAGGCCUUCGGGUUGUAAACUGCUUUUGUACGGAGCGAAAAGGCUCUCUCUAAUACAGGGGGCUCAUGACGGUACCGUAAGAAUAAGCACCGGCUAACUACGUGCCAGCCGCCGCCGUAA